GGCUCAGGAUGAACGCUAGCGGCAGGCUUAAUACAUGCAAGUCGUGGGGCAGCAGGCUUGUAGCAAUACAGAUGCUGGCGACCGGCAAACGGGUGCGGAACACGUACAGAACCUUCCUUUGAGCGGGGAAUAGCCCAGAGAAAUUUGGAUUAGUACCCCAUAGUAUAAUGAAGUGGCAUCACUUUAUUAUUAAAGAUUUAUCACUCGAAGAUGGCUGUGCGGCUGAUUAGGUAGUUGGCGGGGUAAAGGCCCACCAAGCCUGCGAUCAGUAACUGGUGUGAGAGCACGACCAGUCACACGGGCACUGAGACACGGGCCCGACUCCUACGGGAGGCAGCAGUAAGGAAUAUUGGUCAAUGGAGGCAACUCUGAACCAGCCAUGCCGCGUGGAGGAUGAAGGUCCUCUGGAUUGUAAACUUCUUUUAUAUGGGACGAAAAAGGCUUUUCUAAGUCGUCUGACGGUACCAUAUGAAUAAGCACCGGCUAACUCCGUG
This 494-nucleotide ribosomal RNA is filed under the name uncultured bacterium. Its description in RNAcentral is "bacterial SSU rRNA". It matches the Rfam family "Bacterial small subunit ribosomal RNA", at positions 21 to 507 of the family's 1533-position model. The record is from RNAcentral.